GUUCUCGUAGCUCAGUAGGAUAGAGCGUUGGAUUCCUAAUCCAAAGGCCGUGGGUUCGAUUCCCGCCGAGGACACCA
Molecule: transfer RNA, 77 nt
Filed under: bacterium
Lineage: Bacteria
Description: tRNA-Arg
Rfam family: tRNA
About the family: Transfer RNA (tRNA) molecules are approximately 80 nucleotides in length. Their secondary structure includes four short double-helical elements and three loops (D, anti-codon, and T loops).
Source: RNAcentral